GGGUUGUGAGGUUAAGCGACUAAGCGUACACGGUGGAUGCCCUGGCAGUCAGAGGCGAUGAAGGACGUGCUAAUCUGCGAUAAGCGUCGGUAAGGUGAUAUGAACCGUUAUAACCGGCGAUUUCCGAAUGGGGAAACCCAGUGUGUUUCGACACACUAUCAUUAACUGAAUCCAUAGGUUAAUGAGGCGAACCGGGGGAACUGAAACAUCUAAGUACCCCGAGGAAAAGAAAUCAACCGAGAUUCCCCCAGUAGCGGCGAGCGAACGGGGAGCAGCCCAGAGCCUGAAUCAGUGUGUGUGUUAGUGGAAGCGUCUGGAAAGGCGCGCGAUACAGGGUGACAGCCCCGUACACAAAAAUGCACAUGCUGUGAGCUCGAUGAGUAGGGCGGGACACGUGGUAUCCUGUCUGAAUAUGGGGGGACCAUCCUCCAAGGCUAAAUACUCCUGACUGACCGAUAGUGAACCAGUACCGUGAGGGAAAGGCGAAAAGAACCCCGGCGAGGGGAGUGAAAAAGAACCUGAAACCGUGUACGUACAAGCAGUGGGAGCACGCUUAGGCGUGUGACUGCGUACCUUUUGUAUAAUGGGUCAGCGACUUAUAUUCUGUAGCAAGGUUAACCGAAUAGGGGAGCCGAAGGGAAACCGAGUCUUAACUGGGCGUUAAGUUGCAGGGUAUAGACCCGAAACCCGGUGAUCUAGCCAUGGGCAGGUUGAAGGUUGGGUAACACUAACUGGAGGACCGAACCGACUAAUGUUGAAAAAUUAGCGGAUGACUUGUGGCUGGGGGUGAAAGGCCAAUCAAACCGGGAGAUAGCUGGUUCUCCCCGAAAGCUAUUUAGGUAGCGCCUCGUGAAUUCAUCUCCGGGGGUAGAGCACUGUUUCGGCAAGGGGGUCAUCCCGACUUACCAACCCGAUGCAAACUGCGAAUACCGGAGAAUGUUAUCACGGGAGACACACGGCGGGUGCUAACGUCCGUCGUGAAGAGGGAAACAACCCAGACCGCCAGCUAAGGUCCCAAAGUCAUGGUUAAGUGGGAAACGAUGUGGGAAGGCCCAGACAGCCAGGAUGUUGGCUUAGAAGCAGCCAUCAUUUAAAGAAAGCGUAAUAGCUCACUGGUCGAGUCGGCCUGCGCGGAAGAUGUAACGGGGCUAAACCAUGCACCGAAGCUGCGGCAGCGACGCUGAUGCGUUGUUGGGUAGGGGAGCGUUCUGUAAGCCUGUGAAGGUGUGCUGUGAGGCAUGCUGGAGGUAUCAGAAGUGCGAAUGCUGACAUAAGUAACGAUAAAGCGGGUGAAAAGCCCGCUCGCCGGAAGACCAAGGGUUCCUGUCCAACGUUAAUCGGGGCAGGGUGAGUCGACCCUAAGGCGAGGCCGAAAGGCGUAGUCGAUGGGAAACAGGUUAAUAUUCCUGUACUUGGUGUUACUGCGAAGGGGGGACGGAGAAGGCUAUGUUGGCCGGGCGACGGUUGUCCCGGUUUAAGCGUGUAGGCUGGUUUUCCAGGCAAAUCCGGAAAAUCAAGGCUGAGGCGUGAUGACGAGGCACUACGGUGCUGAAGCAACAAAUGCCCUGCUUCCAGGAAAAGCCUCUAAGCAUCAGGUAACAUCAAAUCGUACCCCAAACCGACACAGGUGGUCAGGUAGAGAAUACCAAGGCGCUUGAGAGAACUCGGGUGAAGGAACUAGGCAAAAUGGUGCCGUAACUUCGGGAGAAGGCACGCUGAUAUGUAGGUGAGGUCCCUCGCGGAUGGAGCUGAAAUCAGUCGAAGAUACCAGCUGGCUGCAACUGUUUAUUAAAAACACAGCACUGUGCAAACACGAAAGUGGACGUAUACGGUGUGACGCCUGCCCGGUGCCGGAAGGUUAAUUGAUGGGGUUAGCGCAAGCGAAGCUCUUGAUCGAAGCCCCGGUAAACGGCGGCCGUAACUAUAACGGUCCUAAGGUAGCGAAAUUCCUUGUCGGGUAAGUUCCGACCUGCACGAAUGGCGUAAUGAUGGCCAGGCUGUCUCCACCCGAGACUCAGUGAAAUUGAACUCGCUGUGAAGAUGCAGUGUACCCGCGGCAAGACGGAAAGACCCCGUGAACCUUUACUAUAGCUUGACACUGAACAUUGAGCCUUGAUGUGUAGGAUAGGUGGGAGGCUUAGAAGUGUGGACGCCAGUCUGCAUGGAGCCGACCUUGAAAUACCACCCUUUAAUGUUUGAUGUUCUAACGUUGACCCGUAAUCCGGGUUGCGGACAGUGUCUGGUGGGUAGUUUGACUGGGGCGGUCUCCUCCUAAAGAGUAACGGAGGAGCACGAAGGUUGGCUAAUCCUGGUCGGACAUCAGGAGGUUAGUGCAAUGGCAUAAGCCAGCUUGACUGCGAGCGUGACGGCGCGAGCAGGUGCGAAAGCAGGUCAUAGUGAUCCGGUGGUUCUGAAUGGAAGGGCCAUCGCUCAACGGAUAAAAGGUACUCCGGGGAUAACAGGCUGAUACCGCCCAAGAGUUCAUAUCGACGGCGGUGUUUGGCACCUCGAUGUCGGCUCAUCACAUCCUGGGGCUGAAGUAGGUCCCAAGGGUAUGGCUGUUCGCCAUUUAAAGUGGUACGCGAGCUGGGUUUAGAACGUCGUGAGACAGUUCGGUCCCUAUCUGCCGUGGGCGCUGGAGAACUGAGGGGGCUGCUCCUAGUACGAGAGGACCGGAGUGGACGCAUCACUGGUGUUCGGGUUGUCAUGCCAAUGGCACUGCCCGGUAGCUAAAUGCGGAAGAGAUAAGUGCUGAAAGCAUCUAAGCACGAAACUUGCCCCGAGAUGAGUUCUCCCUGACCCUUUAAGGGUCCUGAAGGAACGUUGAAGACGACGACGUUGAUAGGCCGGGUGUGUAAGCGCAGCGAUGCGUUGAGCUAACCGGUACUAAUGAACCGUGAGGCUUAACCUUACAACGCCGAAGCUGUU
Molecule: ribosomal RNA, 2928 nt
Filed under: Escherichia coli
Lineage: Bacteria; Pseudomonadati; Pseudomonadota; Gammaproteobacteria; Enterobacterales; Enterobacteriaceae
Description: 23S ribosomal RNA
Rfam family: Bacterial large subunit ribosomal RNA
Source: RNAcentral